Molecule: unclassified non-coding RNA, 367 nt
Filed under: Ficus adhatodifolia
Lineage: Eukaryota; Viridiplantae; Streptophyta; Magnoliopsida; Rosales; Moraceae
Description: partial contains external transcribed spacer and 18S ribosomal RNA
Rfam family: Eukaryotic small subunit ribosomal RNA (bases 301-367)
Source: RNAcentral
AGGAAAAAUUCGUCAGAUAGCCACGCCCCUUUCCUCUUUGUGGCUUUGCGGCUGCAAUGCGGACCUCGAAAGCGGUCCCCGUGUCCCGAACAUAUCCUCCGACUUCGGUCGUGGCUGUCUCGGUCCACGGGACAACUGCUCGCGCUCUCGGAUGUGGAAAAUUAAGCGGACGUGGGGGGGUCUUGGCCUCCGGUUGCUCCACAAUCAAGUCCCGCGAUAAGAAUGACUUUCGCUACCUCAUUGACCGCAGGCCGUCCAGGCCCGUGGCAUCAAUGCGGGUCCGUAGUCGAGAACGAAUGCUACCUGGUUGAUCCUGCCAGUAGUCAUAUGCUUGUCUCAAAGAUUAAGCCAUGCAUGUGUAAGUAAA